RNAcentral lists this ribosomal RNA (497 nucleotides) under uncultured bacterium. Its description in RNAcentral is "partial 16S ribosomal RNA". It matches the Rfam family "Bacterial small subunit ribosomal RNA", at positions 28 to 507 of the family's 1533-position model. The record is from RNAcentral.
GAUGAACGCUGGCGGCGUGCCUAAUACAUGCAAGUCGAGCGAACAGAUGAGGAGCUUGCUCCUCUGACGUUAGCGGCGGACGGGUGAGUAACACGUGGAUAACCUACCUAUAAGACUGGGAUAACUUCGGGAAACCGGAGCUAAUACCGGAUAAUAUAUUGAACCGCAUGGUUCAAUAGUGAAAGACGGUUUUGCUGUCACUUAUAGAUGGAUCCGCGCCGCAUUAGCUAGUUGGUAAGGUAACGGCUUACCAAGGCAACGAUGCGUAGCCGAUCUGAGAGGGUGAUCGGCCACACUGGAACUGAGACACGGUCCAGACUCCUACGGGAGGCAGCAGUAGGGAAUCUUCCGCAAUGGGCGAAAGCCUGACGGAGCAACGCCGCGUGAGUGAUGAAGGUCUUCGGAUCGUAAAACUCUGUUAUUAGGGAAGAACAAAUGUGUAAGUAACUAUGCACGUCUUGACGGUACCUAAUCAGAAAGCCACGGCUAACUACGUG